This 554-nucleotide ribosomal RNA is filed under the name uncultured bacterium. RNAcentral's name for it is "bacterial SSU rRNA". It matches the Rfam family "Bacterial small subunit ribosomal RNA", at positions 362 to 917 of the family's 1533-position model. The record is from RNAcentral.
UCUUGCACAAUCGGGCGAAAGCCUGNUGCAGCGACGCCGCGUGGGGGAUGAAGCUUUUCGGAGUGUAAACCCCUUUCGACCCGGACGAAUGCCCCGCAAGGGGACUGACGGUACGGGUAUAAGAAGCCCCGGCUAACUACGUGCCAGCAGCCGUGGUAAGACGUGGGGGGCCAGCGUUGCUCGGAAUUACUNGGGUGUAAAGGGUUCGUAGGCGGUGUGGCAAGUCGGGAGUGAAAUCUCUGGGCUUAACUCAGAGACUGCUUCCGAAACUGCUGUGCUUGAGUGUGGGAGAGGCGCGUGGAAUUGCAGGUGUAGCCGGUGAAAUGCGUAGAUAUCUGCAGGAACACCCGUGGCGAAAGCGGCGCGCUGGACCACUACUGACGCUGAGGAACGAAAGCUAGGGGAGCAAACAGGAUUAGAUACCCUGGUAGUCCUAGCCCUAAACGAUCAGGACUUGGGGUGCCGCACGUUCGUGCGUCGUCCCGGAGCUAACGCGUUAAGUCCUGCACCUGGGGAGUACGGUCGCAAGACUGAAACUCAAAGAAAUUGACGGA